This 765-nucleotide long non-coding RNA is filed under the name Pelobates cultripes (western spadefoot toad). Lineage: Eukaryota; Metazoa; Chordata; Amphibia; Anura; Pelobatidae. The record is from RNAcentral.
ACUAAAAUGGCGGCUGACAGAAGGAGGGUAAGCCCUUUCCACGAUCCCGAGGGGAGCAAAGAGACCUCCGGGAACAAGCUGGUCCGACGACUAUUAUGGCAAGCAACAAGCCACUACUACAGCAACCAAGCAAAAAAGGCUAACCACUCACAGCCACCCCUGGUGAGACCGCGCCACCAAAUAACGACCAACCGACAUCUAGAUUGCAAUGAACUCACAGGGGGCACCGAUAAUGCAGAGACUCAUACGACCUAUCUACGACAACGAUACUUUACCCUCUUACCAGCAUUGAGCCACAACGCAAAAGUCUCUCCACCAAGCAGCAAAGCGGAACGGGCGGACAACAUCCACAAGACUACAAGCGAAUGGGCACAACAAUGCUCCACAACCCACUGGAUGAUCCGACGUCCCCACUACUACUCCUACCGGAGCAACCGGGGGAACAUGGACAUGACUGCAACCUUGAACACCAGCGGCAAGCAUAAAAUACUGUCUAAAUAUAAGAGACUGCCAACAUAAAGGGGGUUCUUAGUAACUCAGUCGUUUUUACCAGCUACCAGUCAGGAAUAUGGGGAUCUGCACUUAACUAGCUAAUACUGUUGUGUCUUUUUCUCGGGAGGUGGGAGGCAUAGCUGGUUAAUCUGGGUCCAGGGAAGUGCUUGUAACUAAAUGCUUAAUUACUGAAGCACCACAUCUGGCAAGGCACAAUUUUGAUGUAUAGGCUCCAUCACAUAUCAACCGAGUUACAUGUUAAAACUAGCCUGA